UUCAGCUCUACACUUUUCUGACACAACUCUCUGUAGGUAGAGGCCAAUUCCUCAAAGGUUACUUCACCAUCACUUGAGUCUUCAUCAGAUCCCCAUCUUCCUGUCAAAGCAGUCACAAGAUUUGCAGCCUCCUCUGUAUCACUCUCAUCUGACCAGGUGGCAGCAAGACUCAUCUUCUGCUUCUUGAGGUAGGUACCACAUUCUGUUCUAAUGUGUCCAUACCCAUCACAUUCAUAGCACUUUACUUCUUUUCCUUCUUUGGGCUUUUCUU
Molecule: long non-coding RNA, 271 nt
Filed under: Lathyrus oleraceus (garden pea)
Lineage: Eukaryota; Viridiplantae; Streptophyta; Magnoliopsida; Fabales; Fabaceae
Description: Pisum sativum (pea) long non-coding RNA (PSAT_LNC024414)
Source: RNAcentral